This is a long non-coding RNA of Alosa sapidissima (American shad), 178 nucleotides long. RefSeq lists it as uncharacterized. The record is from RefSeq and is a predicted model, not a curated record. NCBI's taxonomy places the organism in Eukaryota, Metazoa, Chordata, Actinopteri, Clupeiformes, Clupeidae. The transcript is spliced from 2 exons.
UAGUAGACUACCACACAGUUGCUGACCGUGUGUUAUUUCAGGUUAGUUUGCAACAACAUACAAGUUUAACCAAAGUCCUUAGUUGCUACCUAGCUAGCGAACAUUACUAGCAGUUCCCAUUCACUUUUUGUUUACUGUGCUAACAUUAGCUAGCUAGCUAGCUAGCUCGGUUAACGGG